Molecule: ribosomal RNA, 381 nt
Filed under: uncultured bacterium
Lineage: Bacteria
Description: bacterial SSU rRNA
Rfam family: Bacterial small subunit ribosomal RNA
Source: RNAcentral
AUUGAACGCUGGCGGCAUGCCUUACACAUGCAAGUCGAACGGCAGCACGGACUUCGGUCUGGUGGCGAGUGGCGAACGGGUGAGUAAUGUAUCGGAACGUACCUUUCAGUGGGGGAUAACGUAGCGAAAGUUACGCUAAUACCGCAUAUUCUGUGAGCAGGAAAGCAGGGGAUCGCAAGACCUUGCGCUGAUUGAGCGGCCGAUAUCAGAUUAGCUAGUUGGUGGGGUAAAGGCCUACCAAGGCUACGAUCUGUAGCGGGUCUGAGAGGAUGAUCCGCCACACUGGAACUGAGACACGGUCCAGACUCCUACGGGAGGCAGCAGUGGGGAAUUUUGGACAAUGGGGGCGAACCCUGAUCCAGCCAUGCCGCGUGAGUGAAG